Molecule: long non-coding RNA, 384 nt
Filed under: Capsicum annuum
Lineage: Eukaryota; Viridiplantae; Streptophyta; Magnoliopsida; Solanales; Solanaceae
Description: long non-coding RNA (CANN_LNC002900)
Source: RNAcentral
GAGAUGGUAGAACAAGCAACCAAGUUAGGCUUCCAGAUUUUUAGUAGUAAUAUCAAUAUGUGUAGAAAAGCAGUGGGAAAGGAUGAUGCCCAACCCGUCCUUACUUCAGUGUAAAGUUUUGCACUUCAGCUAUCACGUAAUGUACUCCCACCUUACAUGUCAGCUCUAUGAUCAUAGCUUAUAUUCGUGCACAUUAUCAAAAAUCAUGUACACUUAUCAUUCCUAUUAUAAGGAGUUCCAAUUCACUCAGUGUUAUGAAUUAUGUUCCAUGAAUACAGAAAAUCCAAACUCAGGUCAUGCAACUCAUGACUCAUGUACUCAUGCUUUAUAGUAUGCUUAGUUCCUAUGACUCAUGCUACACUCCUAACGGUCAGCUAAAUUCAG